Molecule: ribosomal RNA, 482 nt
Filed under: uncultured bacterium
Lineage: Bacteria
Description: bacterial SSU rRNA
Rfam family: Bacterial small subunit ribosomal RNA
Source: RNAcentral
AUUGAACGCUGGCGGCAUGCCUUACACAUGCAAGUCGAACGGUAACGCGGGGCAACCUGGCGACGAGUGGCGAACGGGUGAGUAACGCAUCGGAACGUGCCCAGUAGUGGGGGAUAGCCCGGCGAAAGCCGGAUUAAUACCGCAUACGACCUACGGGUGAAAGGGGGGGAUCGCAAGACCUCUCGCUAUUGGAGCGGCCGAUGUCAGAUUAGGUAGUUGGUGGGGUAAAGGCCUACCAAGCCGACGAUCUGUAGCUGGUCUGAGAGGACGACCAGCCACACUGGGACUGAGACACGGCCCAGACUCCUACGGGAGGCAGCAGUGGGGAAUUUUGGACAAUGGACGCAAGUCUGAUCCAGCCAUGCCGCGUGCGGGAAGAAGGCCUUCGGGUUGUAAACCGCUUUUGUCAGGGAAGAAAUCUUCUGGGUUAAUACCUCGGGAGGAUGACGGUACCUGAAGAAUAAGCACCGGCUAACUACGUG